GCCAGGCAUGGUGGUGCAUGCCUGUAGUCUCAGCUACUCGGGAGGCUGAGACGGGAGAAUCACUUGAACCCAGGAGGCAGAGGUUGCAGUGAGCCUAAAUCAGGCCACUGCACUCCAGCCUGGGUGACAGAGUGAGACUCUGUCUCAA
Molecule: unclassified non-coding RNA, 148 nt
Organism: Macaca fascicularis (crab-eating macaque)
Lineage: Eukaryota; Metazoa; Chordata; Mammalia; Primates; Cercopithecidae
Rfam family: Metazoan signal recognition particle RNA
About the family: The signal recognition particle (SRP) is a universally conserved ribonucleoprotein. It is involved in the co-translational targeting of proteins to membranes.
Source: Ensembl